RNAcentral lists this ribosomal RNA (502 nucleotides) under uncultured bacterium. Its description in RNAcentral is "bacterial SSU rRNA". It matches the Rfam family "Bacterial small subunit ribosomal RNA", at positions 28 to 524 of the family's 1533-position model. The record is from RNAcentral.
GAUGAACGCUAGCGGCAGGCUUAAUACAUGCAAGUCGUGGGGCAGCAUGGGGUAGCAAUACUCUGAUGGCGACCGGCAAACGGGUGCGGAACACGUACGCAACCUUCCCAAAACUGGUGAAUAGCCCUCCGAAAGGAGGAUUAAUACACCGUAACAUAACGAAGUGGCAUCACUUUGUUAUUAUAGCUCCGGCGGUUUUGGAUGGGCGUGCGCCUGAUUAGGUAGUUGGCGGGGUAACGGCCCACCAAGCCUACGAUCAGUAACUGGUGUGAGAGCACGACCAGUCACACGGGCACUGAGACACGGGCCCGACUCCUACGGGAGGCAGCAGUAAGGAAUAUUGGUCAAUGGACGCAAGUCUGAACCAGCCAUGCCGCGUGAAGGAUGAAGGUCCUCUGGAUUGUAAACUUCUUUUAUCUGGGACGAAAAAGGGCUUUCUAGCUCACUUGACGGUACCAGAGGAAUAAGCACCGGCUAACUCCGUGCCAGCAGCCGCGGUAAU